UGCGCAGGCGGAUUGUUAAGCAAGACGUGAAAUCCCCGGGCUUAACCUGGGAAUGGCGUUUUGAACUGGCAGUCUAGAGUGCGUCAGAGGGGGGUGGAAUUCCACGUGUAGCAGUGAAAUGCGUAGAGAUGUGGAGGAACACCGAUGGCGAAGGCAGCCCCCUGGGAUGACACUGACGCUCAUGUACGAAAGCGUGGGUAGCAAACAG
RNAcentral lists this ribosomal RNA (208 nucleotides) under uncultured Thiobacillus sp. Its description in RNAcentral is "partial 16S ribosomal RNA". It matches the Rfam family "Bacterial small subunit ribosomal RNA", at positions 568 to 775 of the family's 1533-position model. The record is from RNAcentral. Lineage: Bacteria; Pseudomonadati; Pseudomonadota; Betaproteobacteria; Nitrosomonadales; Thiobacillaceae.